RNAcentral lists this ribosomal RNA (464 nucleotides) under uncultured bacterium. Its description in RNAcentral is "partial 16S ribosomal RNA". It matches the Rfam family "Bacterial small subunit ribosomal RNA", at positions 28 to 506 of the family's 1533-position model. The record is from RNAcentral.
GACGAACGCUGGCGGCGUGCUUAACACAUGCAAGUCGAACGGAAAGGCCCCUUUGGGGGUACUCGAGUGGCGAACGGGUGAGUAACACGUGAGUAACCUGCCCUUGACUUCGGGAUAACUUCAGGAAACUGGGGCUAAUACCGGAUAGGAAUCCUUGCUGCAUGGUGGGGGUUGGAAAGCUUCGGCGGUUUUGGAUGGACUCGCGGCUUAUCAGCUUGUUGGUGGGGUAGUGGCUUACCAAGGCUUUGACGGGUAGCCGGCCUGAGAGGGCGACCGGCCACAUUGGGACUGAGAUACGGCCCAGACUCCUACGGGAGGCAGCAGUGGGGAAUAUUGCACAAUGGGCGGAAGCCUGAUGCAGCAACGCCGCGUGCGGGAUGACGGCCUCCGGGUUGUAAACCGCUUUCAGCAGGGGCGAAGCUUGUGGUGACGGUACCUGCAGAAGAAGCACCGGCUAACUACGU